GUGCUCACUUCGGCAGCAUAUACACUAAACUUGGAAUGAUACAGAGAAGAUUAGCAUGGGCCCUGUGCAAGGAUGACAUGCAAAUUUGUGAAGAAAAGAUUUUUUAA
RNAcentral lists this small nuclear RNA (107 nucleotides) under Octodon degus (degu). Lineage: Eukaryota; Metazoa; Chordata; Mammalia; Rodentia; Octodontidae. The record is from RNAcentral.